GACGAACGCUGGCGGCGUGCUUAACACAUGCAAGUCGAACGGAAAGGCCCUGCUUUCGGGGUAUUCGAGAGGGGAACGGGGGUGUAACACGUGGGUGAACUGCCCUGUACUCUGGGAUAAGCCUGGGAAACACUGUCGAAUACCGGAGAUAAGACAUCUUGAUGGUGAUUGUUGGAUGGUUUUUUCGGUGUAGGAGGAGCUGCCGGCCUAUCAGCUUGUUGGUGGGGGAAGGGCCUACCAAGGCAGGGAUCGGUAGGCCGCCGGGGGGGGUGGACGGCCACCAUGGGACUGAGAAACGGCCCAGAAUCCUACGGGAGGCAACAGUGGGGAAUAUUGCACAAUGGGCGCGAGCCUGAUGCAACGACGCCCGGUGGGGGAUGACCGCCUUCGGGUUGUAAACUCCUUUCGGUAUGGAAGGAGCUUUUUGUGACGGUACCUUGAUAAGAAGCACCGGCUAACUACGUG
Molecule: ribosomal RNA, 465 nt
Filed under: uncultured bacterium
Lineage: Bacteria
Description: partial 16S ribosomal RNA
Rfam family: Bacterial small subunit ribosomal RNA
Source: RNAcentral